GCGCCGGUGGUGUAAGGCGAACAUCGCUGAUCGGGAAACAGAAGAUGCGGGUUCGAGUCCCGCCUGGCGCA
This is a non-coding RNA of Heligmosomoides polygyrus, 71 nucleotides long. The record is from Rfam. Lineage: Eukaryota; Metazoa; Nematoda; Chromadorea; Rhabditida; Heligmosomidae.